Molecule: ribosomal RNA, 622 nt
Filed under: uncultured archaeon
Lineage: Archaea
Description: bacterial SSU rRNA
Rfam family: Archaeal small subunit ribosomal RNA
Source: RNAcentral
UAAUACUCCAUAGAUUAGAGACACUGGAAUGUUCUUUAGUCGAAAGUUCUGGCGCCUUAGGAUGGAUCUGCGGUCGAUUAGGUUGUUGUUGGGGUAACGGCCCAACAAGCCUGUAAUCGAUACGGGUUGUGGGAGCAAGAGCCCGGAGAUGGAAUCUGAGACACGAUUCCAGGCCCUACGGGGCGCAGCAGGCGCGAAAACUUUACAAUGCAGGAAACUGUGAUAAGGGAACUCCGAGUGCCCGUAUACGCGGGCUGUCCAGGUGUUUAAAAAUCAUCUGAAGAAAGGGCCGGGCAAGACCGGUGCCAGCCGCCGCGGUAAUACCGGCGGCUCGAGUGGUGGCCACUAUUAUUGGGCUUAAAGCGUCCGUAGCUGGACCGAUAAGUCUCUUGGGAAAUCCGCCGGCUCAACCGGCGGGCGUCUAAGGGAUACUGUUAGUCUAGGGACCGGGAGAGGUGAGAGGUACUCCGGGGGUAGGAGUGAAAUCCUGUAAUCCCCGGGGGACCACCGAUGGCGAAGGCAUCUCACCAAAACGGCUCCGACAGUGAUGGACGAAAGCUGGGGGAGCGAAACGGAUUAAAUACCCGGGUUAGUCCAUCCGUAGACUAUGCGCGUUAUGUGU